Molecule: microRNA, 22 nt
Filed under: Gallus gallus (chicken)
Lineage: Eukaryota; Metazoa; Chordata; Aves; Galliformes; Phasianidae
Description: gga-miR-6567-5p (MIR6567)
Source: RNAcentral
AGCUCCGAACUCGCCGUGCCCG